Molecule: ribosomal RNA, 773 nt
Filed under: uncultured bacterium
Lineage: Bacteria
Description: bacterial SSU rRNA
Rfam family: Bacterial small subunit ribosomal RNA
Source: RNAcentral
CAGUCGAACGGACUUACAUUGAAGCCUAGCGAUAUGUAAGUUAGUGGCGGACGGCUGUGUAACGCGUGGGUAACCUGCCUUGUACUGGGGGACAACAGUUGGAAACGACUGCUAAUACCGCAUAAGCGCACAGCUUCGCAUGAAGCAGUGUGAAAAACUCCGGUGGUACAAGAUGGACCCGCGUCUGAUUAGCUGGUUGGUGAGGUAACGGCCCACCAAGGCGACGAUCAGUAGCCGGCCUGAGAGGGUGAACGGCCACAUUGGGACUGAGACACGGCCCAAACUCCUACGGGAGGCAGCAGUGGGGAAUAUUGCACAAUGGGGGAAACCCUGAUGCAGCAACGCCGCGUGAGUGAAGAAGUAUUUCGGUAUGUAAAGCUCUAUCAGCAGGAAAGAAAAUGACGGUACCUGACUAAGAAGCCCCGGCUAACUACGUGCCAGCAGCCGCGGUAAUACGUAGGGGGCAAGCGUUAUCCGGAUUUACUGGGUGUAAAGGGAGCGUAGACGGUUUUGCAAGUCUGAAGUGAAAGCCCGGGGCUUAACCCCGGGACUGCUUUGGAAACUGUAGGACUAGAGUGCAGGAGAGGUAAGUGGAAUUCCUAGUGUAGCGGUGAAAUGCGUAGAUAUUAGGAGGAACACCAGUGGCGAAGGCGGCUUACUGGACUGUAACUGGCGUUGAGGCUCGAAAGCGUGGGGAGCAAACAGGAUUAGAUACCCUGGUAGUCCACGCCGUAAACGAUGAUUACUAGGUGUUGGUGGGUAUGACCCAUCGG